This 418-nucleotide ribosomal RNA is filed under the name uncultured bacterium. RNAcentral describes it as "bacterial SSU rRNA". It matches the Rfam family "Bacterial small subunit ribosomal RNA", at positions 917 to 1338 of the family's 1533-position model. The record is from RNAcentral.
GGGCCCGCACAAGCGGUGGAGCAUGUGGUUUAAUUCGAUGAUACGCGAGGAACCUUACCAGGGCUUAAAUGUAAGUUGCAUUAGUUAGAGAUAGCUAUUUCUUCGGACUACUUACAAGGUGCUGCAUGGUUGUCGUCAGCUCGUGCCGUGAGGUGUCAGGUUAAGUCCUAUAACGAGCGCAACCCCUGUUGUUAGUUGCCAUCGAGUCAUGUCGGGAACUCUAACAAGACUGCCGGUGCAAACCGUGAGGAAGGUGGGGAUGACGUCAAAUCAUCACGGCCCUUACGUCCUGGGCUACACACGUGCUACAAUGGCCGGUACAGAGAGCAGCCACUACGCGAGUAGGCGCGAAUCUUCAAAGCCGGUCUCAGUUCGGAUUGAAGUCUGCAACUCGACUUCAUGAAGCUGGAAUCGCUAG